RNAcentral lists this ribosomal RNA (468 nucleotides) under uncultured bacterium. RNAcentral's name for it is "partial 16S ribosomal RNA". It matches the Rfam family "Bacterial small subunit ribosomal RNA", at positions 28 to 507 of the family's 1533-position model. The record is from RNAcentral.
GACGAACGCUGGCGGCGUGCUUAACACAUGCAAGUCGAACGGAAAGGCCCUGCUUUUGUGGGGUGCUCGAGUGGCGAACGGGUGAGUAACACGUGAGUAACCUGCCCUUGACUUUGGGAUAACUUCAGGAAACUGGGGCUAAUACCGGAUAGGAGCUCCUGCUGCAUGGUGGGGGUUGGAAAGUUUCGGCGGUUGGGGAUGGACUCGCGGCUUAUCAGCUUGUUGGUGGGGUAGUGGCUUACCAAGGCUUUGACGGGUAGCCGGCCUGAGAGGGUGACCGGCCACAUUGGGACUGAGAUACGGCCCAGACUCCUACGGGAGGCAGCAGUGGGGAAUAUUGCACAAUGGGCGGAAGCCUGAUGCAGCAAAGCCGCGUGCGGGAUGACGGCCUUCGGGUUGUAAACCGCUUUCGCCUGUGACGAAGCGUGAGUGACGGUAAUGGGUAAAGAAGCACCGGCUAACUACGUG